Molecule: ribosomal RNA, 241 nt
Filed under: uncultured bacterium
Lineage: Bacteria
Description: partial 16S ribosomal RNA
Rfam family: Bacterial small subunit ribosomal RNA
Source: RNAcentral
GACGAACGUUAGCGGCGCGCCUAACACAUGCAAGUCGCACGAGAAAGGGCUUCGGCCCCGGUACAGUGGCGCACGGGUGAGUAACACGUGGGUAAUCUGCCUUCGAGGCGGGGGAUAACAUUCCGAAAGGAGUGCUAAUACCGCAUAAGACCACGCCCUCGAAAGAGGAAGCGGUCAAAGCUGGCCUCUAUACAUAAGCUAGCACUUGAAGAUGAGCCCGCGGAGCANCAGCUAGUUGGUG